RNAcentral lists this long non-coding RNA (3199 nucleotides) under Sus scrofa (pig). RNAcentral's name for it is "lncRNA (ENSSSCG00025050797.1)". Lineage: Eukaryota; Metazoa; Chordata; Mammalia; Artiodactyla; Suidae. The record is from RNAcentral.
GAGCACCCCUACCGUCCUGCUGGAAGUCGGGGCUGGGCUGUCAGGUCUCCAAGUCCCGCGCAGAGCCGGCGGGAUGGAGCCGCCAAACCACGCGGAGUCGGGGAGCAUGGAGAGAAUCCCCUAACUCCUCCUCCGUGGGGCUUCCCGCGUGGAUUCCCACCCAGUCUCGGUUUGCCGGGGGAGAAGGUGGAGGUGGAGAAAGGGGAGGAGAGGUGGUCUGCCCACGGCCACCAGUGCUCAGGACCUGCGGGCCGAUGGCCAGUGUGGGCGGUGACACCCUUCCCUCGAUGUGGGAGUCACGCCCCACCGUCCCUCCUGCACGCUGGGACAUCUCACUGCGGACGAGGAAACUGAGGCCGGGGGAAGGGGGAUCUCCGGCGCGGAUGCCGGCUGGAAGGCUCCAUCCAGUCCACGCGACCCACCGAGCCGAGGGCUGCUCGCACUCCCGCACAGGCGGCGGAGCUGCCUCGUCGACCCGAAACCGCGGCCAGAAGAUGUCUCCACGGUUGCCUGAGCCCGGGGUCGCAGCCAGGGUUUGGCUUCCAGACCCCCAGGGGAUCCUUCAGCCAGCCCUGGCCGCCCCCGCCGCCUCCCUAGAAACGUGCUUUGGCCGCAAGAGGGCGACAAAGCCCAGACUGCGCGAGUAGACGCGGCGGGUCUCUGGACGUUCCCGGGGCUCCGCGGUGACCGGGUAACAAAGAGCCUGAGCCAGGGCCACUCCAGGGCUCGGUCCAUCAGCAGGCUGUCCAUCACGGGUGAGAUCAUCUGGUACCUGCACGUGACCACCCCACAGACUCUAAGCCGCUUUGACCCGACUUCCUCCUUUCCGACAUCGGUUUCCCUGGUUUCCCCGUCUGUCAGCUGUGGGUUCCAGGAAGAGCUGGGGAGUGGGGCGGCUGCUUCUUCAAGACCGCUCAGAGGCCCCUCCUCCUUGCCACCUUCCCUGUUCCUCCCACUUGGACUGGCAUCUCUGCUUCACACCAGGCACCUCCAGGGUGCACUGGGUGGAGUUCAGGAGGCCAGCUGACCUUCAGCACUAGGCUGCCAGAGUGGGCAGUGAGCCACACCAAGCAAGCUGGCUGUCACAGGCCUGGCUGCAGCUGAUACCAAUGGGACCCCAGCAGUUCAACAGGGACUUCCUCCCUCCCAGCCUCCAUUUGCUCAUCUGUACAGGCUCUGUGCCCUCAGGUCCCAGGCACAUGCUGCCUUCAAAAUAAAAUACAUUUUAAACUGAGGGCAUGGGGCCCUAACAGAGUCCUAACAGAAGCUUAAUGUGGGAAUCUCAGUUCCCAGACCAGGGAUUGAACCCAGGCUGAAGAGGCAAGACUGUCCAGUCCUCACCACUAGGCCUGUCAGGUUUCGGGGUUGUCACUGGGGGCUCCUGAGAGUCUCUCGUGGUGUGGGAGGCAGUGAAGAAGAAAGCCAGCUCAGUGGGUGGGUGCUGUUUUGCCUAUGGGCCCUGGGAGAGCCUGCAUAGAGGGAGGAGUCAGGGUCCCCUGGGUGUUCCUAGACCCAGGAUCCCUGGGCUCCUUGUUCUGCAGCAGGCAGGGUCCCGAGGCCAGUGAGGUGGCCUGGGAAGCAGACUCAUCGUCACCUUGCCAAGGGACCACAGGUCCCCCUCCUGCCAAGGUCCUCAGCCCAGGAGAGGCAAAGCGGCCUGAACGGCAGGUCUGCAGCUGUGCUGCUCAGGACAGAUGGCUAAGUAGCUGUGACAGUCCAGCACACUACCUGCCCAGGUCACCUAGGCCCCUGGGACAUGCAAAGCCCAGGGCUUCACUUCAUAAGUACUUGGAGGUGGCUGGGGUUGGAACAGUGAAACUGGUGCCUCCAGGACCUGGUAAUGAAGGCCCAGUCCUGCUGGGUCUCAGUCCCUAACUGAUGACACCCCUUGGCCCUGAGAAGGGACAUGUGCAUGGGACCCAGCCACUGCUCCCUGCACAUUUCACCCCCACCCUGGGCUCCCAGCCUCCAAGGAAUGUACUUCUGCACCUGCAAACCGGCUCCUGUCUUAGCAGCCCCAUCAGCCCCAUGGAAGGGGAGAGAAAGGCACCCCUCUCACAAUGACAGCCCCUCCCCACUAGCCCCAGCCCAACCCUAAGUGGAGGGCCAGCCAGUGCCUGUGCUGAGGGCCUGGAGGCAGGAAUGCCUCCCCCUCCCCAAGAACAAGACACCCGACCCCCUUGCUGGCUCCUUCAAGCCUGGUAGGUGCAGUCGCCCAUGCCUGUGUCCAAGGCCUGGCCCCUGCCCCACAGCUGCACCUCCACCAGGAUGGGAUCUGCUCCGCUGGGCUCAGCUCCAAUGGGAUCAUCAACCCUGUGGCUAACCCACAUCCUGCCACUUCUGGCCCCCCAGGCUCCACCCUGCCUAUGCCUCCAGUAUUCCCUGCAUCCUCCCCCUGCUCACUGAUUCCUCUGGCAGGCUGCCCUCCCAGCAGCCACAAGGAUCUUCUUUUCUUCUUCUCCUCUUUUUUUUUUUUUUCCCUUUCUUUUUGCGGGCCCUGCAGUAUAUGGAGUUCCAAGGCUAGGGAUCAGAUCUGAGCCACAGUUGCAACCUAUGCAGCAGCUGUGGCAACGCUGGAUACUUAACCCACUCACUGUGCCCAGCCUGGGAUCGAACCUGAGUCUCAUCACUCCCAAGAUGUGCACCACAGCAGGAACUCCCAAAGAACUGCUUCUUUUUUUGUUUUUAGGGCCGCACUUGCGGCAUAUGGAAGUUCCCAGGCUAGGGGUCCAAUCAGAGCUACAGCUGCCGGCCUACACCACAGCCACAGCAACGCAGGAUCCGAGCUGCAUCUAAGAUCUACACCACAGCUCACAGCAACGCCAGACCCUUAACCCACUGAGGCCAGAGAUCAAACCUGCAAUUUCAUGGUUCCUAGUCGGAUUCAUUUCCGCUGCCUCAGAACAGGAACUCCCCAAGGAUCUUCUUAUAGUGACAAGCAUCACCUCUUCACAGAGUUUUCCAGAUCACUUCAUGUAGCAUGGGGCCCACUAUCCAACGCUCCAGCCUCCACUUGGCUGUUAUUUCCAUCAGCACCCUGCCCAGCAAACACUGGCUCUUAUUUAGCAUAAGCUCUUGGGUGCCUGUCUUCUUGGCUACACCAGGAGGGAGAGCAUCUUCUGUUGGCCACUUUUUCCAGCAUCCAGAACAAUGCCUGGCAGCUGGUGUUCAAUAAAUGAUUGACUUUAUUCAUUAAAAU